RNAcentral lists this ribosomal RNA (394 nucleotides) under uncultured bacterium. Its description in RNAcentral is "bacterial SSU rRNA". It matches the Rfam family "Bacterial small subunit ribosomal RNA", at positions 28 to 429 of the family's 1533-position model. The record is from RNAcentral.
GACGAACGCUGGCGGCGUGCUUAACACAUGCAAGUCGAGCGGUAAGGCCCUUCGGGGUACACGAGCGGCGAACGGGUGAGUAACACGUGGGUGACCUGCCCUUAGCUCUGGGAUAAGCCUGGGAAACUGGGUCUAAUACCGGAUAUGACCUCAUGACGCAUGUUGUGGGGUGGAAAGCCUUGUGCGGCUAGGGAUGGGCCCGCGGCCUAUCAGCUUGUUGGUGGGGUGAUGGCCUACCAAGGCGACGACGGGUAGCCGGCCUGAGAGGGCGACCGGCCACACUGGGACUGAGACACGGCCCAGACUCCUACGGGAGGCAGCAGUGGGGAAUCUUGCGCAAUGGGCGAAAGCCUGACGCAGCGACGCCGCGUGAGGGAUGACGGCCUGGUGUAAC